RNAcentral lists this ribosomal RNA (430 nucleotides) under uncultured Acidobacteriota bacterium. RNAcentral's name for it is "bacterial SSU rRNA". It matches the Rfam family "Bacterial small subunit ribosomal RNA", at positions 1 to 446 of the family's 1533-position model. The record is from RNAcentral. Lineage: Bacteria; Pseudomonadati; Acidobacteriota.
UGGCUUAGAGUUUGAUCCUGGCUCAGAAUCAACGCUGGCGGCGCGCUUAACACAUGCAAGUCGAACGAGAAAGGGGAGCAAUCCCUGAGUACAGUGGCGUACGGGUGAGUAACACGUGGGUAAUCUACCUCUGGGUGGGGAAUAACCCUGGGAAACCGGGGCUAAUACCGCAUAACACUGAAGAGUCAAAGGCGCAAGUCGCCUGGAGAGGAGCCCGCGGCUGAUUAGCUAGUUGGUGAGGUAAAAGCUCACCAAGGCAAUGAUCGGUAGCCGGCCUGAGAGGGCACACGGCCACACUGGCACUGAAACACGGGCCAGACUCCUACGGGAGGCAGCAGUGGGGAAUCUUGCACAAUGGGGGCAACCCUGAUGCAGCGACGCCGCGUGAGUGAUGAAGCCCUUCGGGGUGUAAAGCUCUUUCGGCAGGGAC